Molecule: long non-coding RNA, 6085 nt
Organism: Dromaius novaehollandiae (emu)
Lineage: Eukaryota; Metazoa; Chordata; Aves; Casuariiformes; Dromaiidae
Exons: 10
Source: RefSeq, a predicted model, not a curated record
UUUUGAGAUCUUGGGGUAAUAUAAUAACUAACAUGGUCUGUUUAUUGAGGUGCCCCUUUUUGUUUAAAUGACAGCUCGCAAAGCCCUCCCGAUGUUUCCUCAUGUAAGUGCAUUGCAGCAAACGCAUCUAGAAGCCACAAAGCUUUGAUGGCCUAAAAAAUUACAGUAGCCUCGGCAAACUGAAAACAAUUCUUUUAUUGCUAUUACGUCAUGAAACACUCUAAAACACAAACUGCAUUUGUAAUGUGUCGGGGUGUGCAAGGGGUGGGAAUCUCCCAGGAUUUUGACUUGGGAUCUUUCCCAGUAUUUACCACAGUGAAUUCUCACUAGUCUUCUGUAUACCGCUGGGAUAUAUUCACAGACUUGCCCAAGUGGGUAAAAGACAUAAUGGUCAUAAAAUGUCUGGGAAUAUAACACGUAUCUUCUUCUCUUCAAUCAUAGUGACAAAAUGUAUGUUCCAUCAGGGAUAAUCAAUAUUACCAAUGCUGACAACUGUUAUGAAAUAUUAUUUUCGUUCACCUCUAUUUCUUUUUCCAGGACGUGGAAGAAAUAGUUUGAUUAGUUUCUUGGUUAACUACUUAUUUGUCUGUGCUUAUGUGCAUUUAAGUGAGUGGGUGUGUUAAGGAUACACUGAGAUAAAGCUAAUUUAGAGAAAUUCGUUUUGCUUUUGAUUGUCUAGUUCAUUAAUUAUUUUCUCCUCUUUCAAGGGUAAGCUCCACAGUAAACUGUGUGUGACGGUUCUGCCUAUAGCACUGAUGUUCCCCCCGGCUGAAAUUUUCAUCUGGUAGAAAAUGAACUGGGGAGAAGCUGUUGUCCUGGCUGUUGUUUCCCCUUUCAAAAAUCAAGAGCAAGCUACAAAAGAUGGGCACUUCCUUAAAUGGUGGAUGGGCUGACAACCACCUUGCCCUUUGAGAAAGUCGUGGGAUAAAUACAAAUGGGGGAGAAGCUUCUCCAAAACCUUUUAGAAAGUGCUAUCAGCUUGGGAUUACAAUUUCAUGAGAGGGAGACCCUGAGCCUCUGGACUUAUUCACUGAGUUGGGUUGCAGGCAAACAAAGAGAUUUUCUUCAACACUGCUUUAUUUAGGUCCAUGCCUCUCAACAGAGCCAUUUUCUCAGCCCUGGUUUAAUUGAAUCAGUAUUAAAACGAAUCUGGUUUUAUUUUAGUGAAACAGAGGGUUAUGUUCUUGAUUAUAAUGCUGGAAGCAUAAUACAAAAAAAGACACCCCAAAAUGUACUUCUUUUUCUGUUUCUCACCUGAAAAAGUGUUUAGGUACCCCCAAAAUGCCUUUUCCUAACUAAAUCAGUCUGAUUAAUUAAAAAAAACCCCUUUGUCUGCAAACCUCACCUGCCAGGCGCUGGUUCUAGCUGUCACUCACCAGUUCUCUUUUCUUCAUCACAGGCAGUUUCUUCAUUGCAGUAGCCAGGUGUUAAUCCAAGAGUACUUUGGCGCAUGAUGUGGCCUUUAGAGAAGGACAAUAUUGUAAGUCCUCUUUACUCUGGUUGUACCUGCAGUGUCUGAGGUUGCCAAUGCAACAGAAACAUCAAAACGAUCCAGUUUACCAUUACAAGGAUUGCAAGAUGGCUCUUAAAACUGCCAGAGUGCAAUUUCUCUGCAUAAAUAGCUUUUUCUGGAAAGCAAAUAAAUGAUCGUCUGAAGUGAGGUUGAUUUUCAGCAAUAAUGAAUCCAUAUGUUUCCCAUUAAACCUGUCUUCAGAAAACUCAUGACAGAAAGGAAAACCAUUAACAGUGACAAAAAGAAAUUCGUGUGCAACUUCUUCUACAGACAGAAGAUGGAGAACCUUGCCAGUGAAUUGACCUAUGUGUUUCAUAUGUGAAGUGUAAAAUGAAGGAUUGUGGGGAACGGUGGAUGUUCAGGGAAACCCUUUUGGAAACUAAAGAUUUAGAAGUCUCCUCAAAGAAAAAUAUUUUGGUGAAUGAUUUGAAAAAAGCAGACAGCCAAGGCGUGCUGACUUGCCUGGUUGAGGGAGGAAUUUGAAGCUGAGCAGACAGGGUGAAGUACUAAGGGAACGACAGAAGGAAACAAAGGCAGAACAGAAAAGUGAUGUCUCAAGGUUUGAAGAAGGACCGUACUGGGUCAGGGUGUUGGACAGUCUACCUUUUCCAUUUUUUCUCAGCUGCAGAGGUUGAACUUCCCUCAGGAAAAAUUGGGUGUGAGAGAAGAAAAAAAUUGGGAAAAACUCACAAGGGAUACGUCAAAGCUUUACAGUUUGCAAAUAAUGUGAUUACAGAUUCUUAAUUCCAUUAUCAAGCCUUAGUCAGUGCUGUACACACUGCGCUCUGAGGAGGGAAGCAAAACCUGGGGCUAAGGGAGAGAAGUUUGUCCUCUCUGUACAGCUUUCUUUGUCCCUCCAAGUGCAAGGACACUUAAGCCCCUCUAUGCAAAACCCCUUCAAGCUCAAUGAACAGAAAAAAGAUGAAAUGUGAAGACAUUUUCUUAGUGAGUUGUGAAAGUCCUGCAGAGGUACCAGCACAACUGAGAAAGAGUACACUGGGAGAAAAUGAGCCACCACACGAUGUGGAGGACAAGGAAAGGCAGGAACGACUCACCAGUGACAGCUUUGGGAGACAUGUCAAUAAGAUUACAGCCUUGGUGUGGCGAUCGUGGCUCAGAGGGAAGAGCACGUGGAAGUUCAUCACCACUCCCUGAUCCGCCUGUGAGAAAGAGACAGGCAGAAAACCGGUGGCUAUCCCACUGACAAGCAGCCUUCGAACCCUACGGUAACGUACCCGCAGAGGCAUGCGGGCUGCACAGAAAUGUUCCAAGCAAGGGGUCAAUGGAGCCAAUAAUAUUGUGUGAUUUUAAUGAAUGGGAGCUGGGCUGUGUCCUACCCCUCGCGCUUCUGGAUGAUCGAGUCCAUGCCUCAGACAUACGAACAGCAGAAAGCAGCUUGUCCUAGAUGUGGUUUUUUAUGUGGUGCAGAUGUAUGAACAGAGGCUUGCUCGUCAGUGACAGUGCAGAGGAUGGGCAGAGCAUGGACUGGAGAUCCAAGGAAAAUGUUUUUUUCUCUCCCGUUUCUUAGCGAAUGUUGUGCUUUCAGUAGGUGCUGGAUUGGCAGUCUCGGAGGCUGCAUUCCCGCCGAGGGAGAGGGGAGGCACCAUGGAUAAAGUGGAAACAGAAGCUGCGCAGGCCAAAUGUUUCCAUCCCAAACUCGAAGCACAGGGCUCGCAGAUGCCCUGGCAGGGUGCCCUCUAGGACUUGCUCAGUAGUGAUUUGCCCUGUCCAGCUCUGACGGAGGGUACCGAUUGCUACAGCUUCUACAGUUUUUUACAUUUCAGUCCUUCUGACAGCGUUUCUCUGAAACAUGGUGUCAUAAGAGAGUGGAUGCAGAGCAGCGACAACCCCUAUUGCAUCCAGGGGUUUCCUUCAAAACCCACAUGGUUUGAGGAACUCAGCUGCAACGGAUCUGGAUGUGAAUGUGCUGUGAGAGCCACUGUUAAUGGGAACUUUGUGUUCACACGAUGUGCUUAGUGCUUGACAAAUAAGGAGGCCUAGUGAGUUUUUCUGAAUAAAUAAACUACAAUAUUUGCUCUGCUAACCUUGUCACCAAAACAAUGAAAUGUUAUUUUGUAUUUUCUAGGAAUAACAUACAGCAGAUAUAAGACCUGGUAUCAGAAUGAUGACGACUUCCAAAUGAUUAGGAAGUAGCUGAUCCACCAAAGCUAAGCCUUGUGAUGAUUAUCUCUUGCACCAUUUGGUGAUCAAGUCACACUCAUUGUGGCAAUGGGUUAAGCGAGCCAAGGCAGCCUGCAAUUUAUUUGCAUAGCAUCUGAAUCGCUAGGCUUUUAAACUCAGGAGCAUGCAAUACAGGCUGAGGGUGAAAUACCAGGAAAACAUCCCGGUUCAGUUUAAAGAAAGCUAUUCCGACGGGGGCUGAGGCAGCAGGGACUGUGAAUGGCUCAGGCCCACCCAGAAACUUUUGGCAGGCAGUGGAGCAGCGCGAGCUACCCCUUUGUCCAUCCCCUGCUUUGCUUGCUAGAGAGGGCAGUCAGGUGCCUUAACGGCCUUCACGGAGGUUUGGGAUAAGUUCCUAUUUUGCACCCCUGAUUGUGCACAGUGCUGUCUGAAUAUAGCAGAGCUGCUGGAGUGUCAGCUGCCAUAGCCAUCCUGCUGCUUUGGUCUCCUACCUCUUUGCACUCACCUAAGUCUGGUGUCAGAGAAAUUCUGUCAUCUUUAAAUCUCAGCAGAGAAGGCCUGUUAUCAAAAUUAUGCUGGUCCCUGCCAUGCAAGAAGUAAAUGGUAAAUCACAAUGAAGCACUAUUGCUGUGGAAAGGAUCCCUCUGAGAACUGACCUGUGAAGUGAAAACCGCAGAUGACUUUGACUACAGCUUCUUCCCUGUAUUUAAAUUGUCCUGCUUGCAUCAUUUAUUCCAAACACAUUUCUGGGGCAGCUGGGAACAAACUGAUGAGCAGGGCUGCGAAUGCUGAGAGUGCAGAAGGAUUGACAUUUUAAAGGUAAACAUUGAGACUUUCCAUCCAGAAGAUGCAACAGCUGCUACAGAUGCUGAUAUCACUUCUGGCAGAGAGUGAUGAGUGAUAUGUAAUGUCAGAUCAAGACGAGAGGCUACAACUUAGUUAAAAGCGAUGCCCUGAAUGUGAAUCACAAGGCUGGAGACCGUGACGCUGUGGCCAUGCUGCCGAGCUCCUCCUCACCCGGGCCUGGGAGCCCCCAAGGGAACCACACUGGGCACGUGGCUCCGCUCCCGGUGCCGGCGGGUCACCUCUAAGGAGGACCCGGCACCGGGAAUGUCACUGGUCGGCAUUCCUCUGCCAUACUGGUGCUGGAUACGGGCUGAAGGGGUCCCUUUCAUUCUCUGGGGUACGCAUUAUGCUGAGCUUGAUAGCUUCUUUUUGCAAGGGGGGAAGUCAGCAUCUGGCUUGUGUAAUCUUGACUGAGAGUUGCCAGAUCAACGGCUGCAUCGCUUCUCUGUCAUCACCAGAGACAAUUAAGCUGCACGGAGAUUGAGCUUGAAAUAAGCCUCCAAAUUUUCCAAAAGUUUCAAGCUUAUUUAAAUUUCUAUGACAGAGGGAUCACAUUGAAUGAAGGUGAGGACAGCUCAGCUCCUAGAUACUUCCAUUUCAGCCAGGUCCAGGCAUACCGAAAGAGACACAGAAAGAUGAAACAAAAUAAACAGAAAAUGAAUUCAACUAUUGCAAGCAAUGCAGAAAUACUGUACUUCAAUUCCACUGUAGAUUGUAACAAAGAUUUCAAUUAGCUUUUAUUUUAAACACACCUUUUUUUCCUAGUCCCAGUGAAUAUAUAAUCACAACCCUUUUGCUUAUUCUGCUUGUCCAAUGCAGAUACCUCCCUGUACAAAAAGCACAUGAAAACAAAUAACGAGCAGUGGAAGUUAUAAAUCUCAAUAAAGUUGGUGUGAUACAGAUGUGAGGAUGCUUUGUAUUUUGAAUCUGAUCACAUUUUGCACUGUUUGUCUCCCUCUUUUUUAUGGGUAUUUACAAUUCUUCUCCAUUAACCUUCAUUUGACUCUGGCUAACUUUGCUGGCUGCAGAUGUCUUUACCAAAGUAUGAAUCAAAGACCUAGCGAUUAUCAACAUGGACAUAAAUUAAUAAUUUAAAGAGGACUACUUAAAUACGUAGUUUACCCAGUUCAUGGGGUGUUUCUAUAACCUUUGACAUCAGGGUUUCACAUCAAGUGUUUAAUGAGAGCUUCCAAAAGGAAAACCAUCCACCAGUAAAUGUCUUUGGUUGUAGAAUAUAUGGGUUUAAGGGACAGCCACACUUAAAUAGUAAGUAGUAUUUUAAAUCAUUAGCCACAGCAUGUUUUAGUGGGAAAUUUCUUUUUUAUGUUAAUAUUAGUCAUUGCAUAAUUUUUUGUAGGCUUCUGUGCCUGCUUCCCAAAUGUUUGUGCUUACAUAUCUAAAGAACAAUAAAUCUCUCUGUUUCAUGAGCAAUAAAUGCUGAUACUGCUCUUUUAUUGAAGGUCUUCAAAUUAUCAUUCUUUUUCUGUGCAAGCCUCCUAUGAACAAACAACUCAAUCACCCCAAAAAGCUAAUAAGAAGAGACGGAUUUUGUUGUGUUUUUUUAAUGUUUCUUUUUGAAAAAUA